Molecule: ribosomal RNA, 872 nt
Filed under: Escherichia coli
Lineage: Bacteria; Pseudomonadati; Pseudomonadota; Gammaproteobacteria; Enterobacterales; Enterobacteriaceae
Description: partial 23S ribosomal RNA
Rfam family: Bacterial large subunit ribosomal RNA
Source: RNAcentral
GUUAAGCGACUAAGCGUACACGGUGGAUGCCCUGGCAGUCAGAGGCGAUGAAGGACGUGCUAAUCUGCGAUAAGCGUCGGUAAGGUGAUAUGAACCGUUAUAACCGGCGAUUUCCGAAUGGGGAAACCCAGUGUGUUUCGACACACUAUCAUUAACUGAAUCCAUAGGUUAAUGAGGCGAACCGGGGGAACUGAAACAUCUAAGUACCCCGAGGAAAAGAAAUCAACCGAGAUUCCCCCAGUAGCGGCGAGCGAACGGGGAGCAGCCCAGAGCCUGAAUCAGUGUGUGUGUUAGUGGAAGCGUCUGGAAAGGCGCGCGAUACAGGGUGACAGCCCCGUACACAAAAAUGCACAUGCUGUGAGCUCGAUGAGUAGGGCGGGACACGUGGUAUCCUGUCUGAAUAUGGGGGGACCAUCCUCCAAGGCUAAAUACUCCUGACUGACCGAUAGUGAACCAGUACCGUGAGGGAAAGGCGAAAAGAACCCCGGCGAGGGGAGUGAAAAAGAACCUGAAACCGUGUACGUACAAGCAGUGGGAGCACGCUUAGGCGUGUGACUGCGUACCUUUUGUAUAAUGGGUCAGCGACUUAUAUUCUGUAGCAAGGUUAACCGAAUAGGGGAGCCGAAGGGAAACCGAGUCUUAACUGGGCGUUAAGUUGCAGGGUAUAGACCCGAAACCCGGUGAUCUAGCCAUGGGCAGGUUGAAGGUUGGGUAACACUAACUGGAGGACCGAACCGACUAAUGUUGAAAAAUUAGCGGAUGACUUGUGGCUGGGGGUGAAAGGCCAAUCAAACCGGGAGAUAGCUGGUUCUCCCCGAAAGCUAUUUAGGUAGCGCCUCGUGAAUUCAUCUCCGGGGGUAGAGCACUGUUUC